CACACCGCUGAUGAUACGAAUGUCCACAGCGAAAAUGUACCAUAGGUAACUCUAAAUCGAUUCCACAGGUAGAGCAUUUAGACUCUUGCACGACAAAUGCUCUUGUACGAAGAAUUGAAAGUUGACUAGUAAUUUCUUCAAUAUCCCGCUUACCCAUUUCAAUAGCCUCAUUUUGUUUCGAGAUUGAUUCACGAUAAUUGUCAAGAACAGAUUGCAUUGAGUCACUAAUGUGCUCGAGCUUGAUAUUGACUGAUUUUCCAAGAAUGUCUAACAAUUGUGUUGGCGAAAUAAGACGUUGAGAAACAAUUAUGUUAACUAUUUCGUUGAUAUCCUGAUACCAACUAUCAACGUUUUCUAAAGACGCAAAACAGUUCAACAUCAUGAUGUACAACUCUUGCUGAUCUGGACCAUGAACACGAACCAUUUUUAAUGCCCGUUCAAUAUCGUUUUGCUGACAGAAAGAGCGAAAUAUAUCAAGCGUUUGACCCGAUUUUCCUUGAACAAAACGAACCCCGUCAUCAAAUCCUAGAAUUUGAGAUAUUAAAAAGACUGCAUUAAGGUCUACGUUUUUUUCUACUUUUUUUAGAAGGGAAUUAGACUUUUCUUGCCAAAAUUCUUGCUUUUCAACGUUUGAGGACGCAAAUGAUUCUCUUAUAUACGCUUCGAAAAGACAUGUAUUAAUGAGAGUCUUGUAAUUUGGUGAUGCAUUUGGUAAUAUUCCUUCCAGAAAUGAAAUCAAUUCUGAGUUAUGAUUUAAAAAAAUAUGAAAGCAGGUUUGUGGACUUGGUGCAGUAUAAGAAACAUCCUCUGAAAACAAU
Molecule: non-coding RNA, 818 nt
Organism: Schizosaccharomyces pombe (fission yeast)
Lineage: Eukaryota; Fungi; Ascomycota; Schizosaccharomycetes; Schizosaccharomycetales; Schizosaccharomycetaceae
Source: the annotation of a GenBank genome assembly